Molecule: ribosomal RNA, 412 nt
Filed under: uncultured bacterium
Lineage: Bacteria
Description: bacterial SSU rRNA
Rfam family: Bacterial small subunit ribosomal RNA
Source: RNAcentral
UCUGGCGGUACCUUGACGGUACCUCACGAGAAAGCCCCGGCUAAAUACGUGCCAGCAGCCGCGGUAAUACGUAGGGGGCAAGCGUUGUCCGGAAUUAUUGGGCGUAAAGCGCGCGCAGGCGGUCUUUUAAGUCUGAUGUGAAAGCCCCCGGCUCAACCGUGGAGGGUCAUUCGAAACUGCGGGACUUGAGUGCAGAAGAGGAAAGUGGAAUUCCCCGUGUAGCGGUGAAAUGCGUAGAAAUUUUGGAGGAACACCAGUGGCGAAGGCGGCUUUCUGGUCUGUAACUGACGCUGAGGCGCGAAAGCGUGGGGAGCAAACAGGAUUAGAUACCCCGGUAGUCCUCGCCGUAAACGAUGAGUACUAAGUGUUGGAGGGUUUCCGCCCUUUCAGUGCCGCAGCUAACCGCAUUAAG